AAUGCUAGCCAUUCCAGGUCCCAAACUCUGUCAUGCUGGCCAUUCAGUGCUUUGCAUUCUUCAUCCCAUCCAGUUCGGCCUUCAUCUCCUUGAUGGUCUGGUCCUUCUCUGCUAUGGUAUUCUUCAAUGCACAGAUCUUGAUGCCAUUUUCAAAAAUCUUCAUGCCCAGCUUCUUCUCUAGCUCUUUCAGUUUUGCACCCAUCAUCUUGUCCACCUCCUUCACCUUCUUGCAGCAUACACAAGUCUAAAUUUAUAGCCAAGUUUAGCUACAUGACAGUAAGUUUAGGAGCAUGUACAGGCAAGGAAAAAAAGAUGGGAACCAUAUAGUACCUUUAAUUUGAUACUUUGCAUUCAAAAGUGUUUAUUUAUUUCUUGCCUACAGUCAUUGAGAAUGUGGUUCUACAACUAUGAUAGAGGUUUCAUUCCAAACAAGGAAUCAUCCGAAGGUGCAAAUGAAUUACCAUAUUUUAUCCAAAAAAACAGAAACAUGUUGAACUGCCUACAGUCAUUCAGUAUUUGCAAAAGAAUCAGCAUAACUAAUUGAGAAAACCCUCGUCGCUGUUCAGAAAAAUACAGAGAUGGGAUGUGGGGAAAUCACCUUGUCGAUGUUCUGUUUCGGGCAUGUCAGCUGGCGUU
Molecule: long non-coding RNA, 636 nt
Filed under: Sorghum bicolor (sorghum)
Lineage: Eukaryota; Viridiplantae; Streptophyta; Magnoliopsida; Poales; Poaceae
Description: long non-coding RNA (SBIC_LNC007000)
Source: RNAcentral